UACAGAGGGUGCAAGCGUUGUUCGGAAUUAUUGGGCGUAAAGGGCGCGUAGGCGGUGCCACAAGUCACCUGUGAAAUCUCCGGGCUUAACUCGGAGCCUGCAGGCGAAACUGUGGUGCUGGAGUGUGGGAGAGGUGCGUGGAAUUCCUGGUGUAGAGGUGAAAUUCGUAGAUAUCGGGAGGAACACCGGUGGCGAAGGCGGCGAUCUGGGUAGAUACUGACGCUGAGGUGCGAAAGCGUGGGGAGCAAACAGG
RNAcentral lists this ribosomal RNA (253 nucleotides) under uncultured bacterium. RNAcentral's name for it is "partial 16S ribosomal RNA". It matches the Rfam family "Bacterial small subunit ribosomal RNA", at positions 524 to 776 of the family's 1533-position model. The record is from RNAcentral.